GGUCAAGCGAACAAGUGCAUGUGGUGGAUGCCUUGGCGAUCACAGGCGAUGAAGGACGCGGUAGCCUGCGAAAAGCUACGGGGAGCUGGCAAACGAGCUUUGAUCCGUAGAUGUCCGAAUGGGGAAACCCACUCCUUUUGGAGUAUCCAUGGCUGAAUACAUAGGCCAUGUGAAGCGAACGCGGUGAACUGAAACAUCUAAGUAACCGCAGGAAAAGAAAUCAACCGAGAUUCCCAAAGUAGUGGCGAGCGAAAUGGGAUGAGCCUUGCACUCUUUAUUUGUAUUGUUAGCCGAACGCUCUGGAAAGUGCGGCCAUAGCAGGUGAUAGCCCUGUAGGCGAAAACAGUAUGAAAGAACUAGGUGUGCGACAAGUAGGGCGGGACACGUGAAAUCCUGUCUGAAGAUGGGGGGACCAUCCUCCAAGGCUAAAUACUCGUGAUCGACCGAUAGUGAACCAGUACCGUGAGGGAAAGGCGAAAAGAACCCCGGGAGGGGAGUGAAAUAGAUCCUGAAACCGCAUGCAUACAAACAGUCGGAGCCUCGUAAGGGGUGACGGCGUACCUUUUGUAUAAUGGGUCAGCGACUUACGUUCAGUAGCAAGCUUAACCGUAUAGGGCAGGCGUAGCGAAAGCGAGUCCGAAUAGGGCGUUCAGUUGCUGGGCGUAGACCCGAAACCAGGUGAUCUAUCCAUGGCCAGGAUGAAGGUGCGGUAACACGUACUGGAGGUCCGAACCCACUAACGUUGAAAAGUUAGGGGAUGAGCUGUGGAUAGGGGUGAAAGGCUAAACAAACCUGGAAAUAGCUGGUUCUCUCCGAAAACUAUUUAGGUAGUGCCUCGUGUCUCACCUUCGGGGGUAGAGCACUGUCAUGGUUGGGGGGUCUAUUGCAGAUUACCCCGCCAUAGCAAACUCCGAAUACCGAAGAGUGCAAUCACGGGAGACAGACAUCGGGUGCUAACGUCCGGUGUCAAGAGGGAAACAACCCAGACCGCCAGCUAAGGUCCCCAAAUAUAGCUAAGUGGGAAACGAAGUGGGAAGGCUAAAACAGUCAGGAGGUUGGCUUAGAAGCAGCCACCCUUUAAAGAAAGCGUAAUAGCUCACUGAUCGAGUCGUCCUGCGCGGAAGAUGUAACGGGGCUAAGCUAUAUACCGAAGCUGCGGAUGCGUGCUUUGCACGCAUGGUAGGAGAGCGUUCCGUAAGCCUGCGAAGGUGCCUUGUAAAGGGUGCUGGAGGUAUCGGAAGUGCGAAUGCUGACAUGAGUAGCGAUAAAGGGGGUGAAAGGCCCCCUCGCCGUAAGCCCAAGGUUUCCUACGCAACGUUCAUCGGCGUAGGGUGAGUCGGCCCCUAAGGCGAGGCAGAAAUGCGUAGCUGAUGGGAAGCAGGUCAAUAUUCCUGCACCAUUGUUAGAUGCGAUGGGGGGACGGAUCGCGGAAGGUUGUCCGGGUGUUGGAAGUCCCGGUCGCUGCAUUGGAGAAGGCGCUUAGGCAAAUCCGGGCGCGUAAUUCAAGGGUGUGGCGCGAGCUCCUUAGGGAGCGAAGCAAUUGGAAGUGGUUCCAAGAAAAGCCUCUAAGCUUCAGUCUAACGAUGACCGUACCGCAAACCGACACAGGUGGGCGAGAUGAGUAUUCUAAGGCGCUUGAGAGAACUCGGGAGAAGGAACUCGGCAAAUUGGUACCGUAACUUCGGGAUAAGGUACGCCCUUGUAGCUUGACUGGCCUGCGCCAGGAGGGUGAAGGGGUUGCAAUAAACUGGUGGCUGCGACUGUUUAAUAAAAACACAGCACUCUGCAAACACGAAAGUGGACGUAUAGGGUGUGACGCCUGCCCGGUGCCGGAAGAUUAAAUGAUGGGGUGCAAGCUCUUGAUUGAAGUCCCGGUAAACGGCGGCCGUAACUAUAACGGUCCUAAGGUAGCGAAAUUCCUUGUCGGGUAAGUUCCGACCUGCACGAAUGGCGUAACGAUGGCCACACUGUCUCCUCCCGAGACUCAGCGAAGUUGAAGUGUUUGUGAUGAUGCAAUCUACCCGCGGCUAGACGGAAAGACCCCAUGAACCUUUACUGUAGCUUUGCAUUGGACUUUGAACCGAUCUGUGUAGGAUAGGUGGGAGGCUAUGAAACCGGAACGCUAGUUUCGGUGGAGCCGUCCUUGAAAUACCACCCUGGUUUGUUUGAGGUUCUAACCUUGGCCCGUGAUCCGGGUCGGGGACAGUGCAUGGUAGGCAGUUUGACUGGGGCGGUCUCCUCCCAAAGCGUAACGGAGGAGUACGAAGGUACGCUAGGUACGGUCGGAAAUCGUGCUGAUAGUGCAAUGGCAUAAGCGUGCUUAACUGCGAGACCGACAAGUCGAGCAGGUGCGAAAGCAGGUCAUAGUGAUCCGGUGGUUCUGUAUGGAAGGGCCAUCGCUCAACGGAUAAAAGGUACUCUGGGGAUAACAGGCUGAUACCGCCCAAGAGUUCAUAUCGACGGCGGUGUUUGGCACCUCGAUGUCGGCUCAUCUCAUCCUGGGGCUGUAGCCGGUCCCAAGGGUAUGGCUGUUCGCCAUUUAAAGAGGUACGUGAGCUGGGUUUAAAACGUCGUGAGACAGUUUGGUCCCUAUCUGCCGUGGGCGUUGGAUAUUUGAAGGGGGCUGCUCCUAGUACGAGAGGACCGGAGUGGACGAACCUCUGGUGUACCGGUUGUCACGCCAGUGGCAUCGCCGGGUAGCUAUGUUCGGAAGAGAUAACCGCUGAAAGCAUCUAAGCGGGAAACUCGCCUUAAGAUGAGAUAUCCCUGGGGACUAGAUCCCCUUGAAGGGUCGUUCGAGACCAGGACGUUGAUAGGUCAGGUGUGUAAGCGCAGUAAUGCGUUCAGCUAACUGAUACUAAUUGCCCGUAAGGCUUGAUCCU
RNAcentral lists this ribosomal RNA (2882 nucleotides) under Burkholderia cenocepacia. RNAcentral describes it as "23S ribosomal RNA". It matches the Rfam family "Bacterial large subunit ribosomal RNA". Lineage: Bacteria; Pseudomonadati; Pseudomonadota; Betaproteobacteria; Burkholderiales; Burkholderiaceae. RNAcentral also lists the same sequence under 2 other names. The record is from RNAcentral.